GUAGGGAAUAUUGUGCAAUGGGGGAAACCCUGACACAGCGACGCCGCGUGGAGGAUGAAGGCCUUCGGGUUGUAAACUCCUGUCAGAGGGGACGAACUUGUCGUUUAACAAACGGCAUUGACUUAACCUUCAGAGGAAGCAACCGCUAACUCCGUGCCAGCAGCGGCGGUAAUACGGAGGUUGCAAACGUUGUUCGGAUUUACUGGGCGUAAAGAGUUCGUAGGCGGUCGGGAUUAAUUAGACGUGAAAGCCCCUGGCUUACCCAGGGAAUUGCAUCUAAUAUUGCCCGACUGGAGUGCGAAAGAGGAAAGCAGAAUUGUAGGUGGAGCGGUGAAAUGCGUAGAUAUCUACAGGAAUACCGGAGGCGAAGGCGGCUUUCUGGUUCGCAACUGACGCUGAGGAACGAAAGCUAGGGGAUCAAACAGGAUUAGAUACCCUGGUAGUCC
Molecule: ribosomal RNA, 446 nt
Filed under: uncultured bacterium
Lineage: Bacteria
Description: bacterial SSU rRNA
Rfam family: Bacterial small subunit ribosomal RNA
Source: RNAcentral